CUAACCGUAAACGAUGACAACCAGCGAUUAAUCGGCGUUAAUAUAUGACCCGAUUAGCAGCUUCCGGGAAACCAAAGUUUUUCGUUUCCGGGGGAAGUAUGGUUGCAAAGCUGAAACUUAAAGGAAUUGACGGAAGGGCACCACCAGGAGUGGAGCCUGCGGCUUAAUUUGACUCAACACGGGAAAACUCACCCGGCCCGGACACCGUAAGGAUUGACAGACUGAGAGCUCUUUCUUAAUUCGGUGGGUGGUGGUGCAUGGCCGUUCUUAGUUGGUGGAGCGAUUUGUCUGGUUAAUUCCGAUAACGAACGAGACUCUGGCCUAUUAAAUAGACGAUAUAUUUAAAAGUAUAUCGCGCUUCUUAGAGGGACAAGCGGCGUCUAGCCGCAUGAAAUAGAGCAAUAACAGGUCUGUGAUGCCCUUAGAUGUCCGGGGCUGCACGCGCGCUACACUGAAAGAAUCAGUGUGCGUUACGCCUAGUUCGGAAGAACCGGGUAACCCAAGUAAAUUCUUUCGUGCUUGGGAUAGGGAAUUGCAAUUAUUUCCCUUAAACGAGGAAUUCCCAGUAAAUGCGGGUCAUAANCUCGCGUUG
Molecule: ribosomal RNA, 592 nt
Filed under: Aporcelaimellus sp. st19_20
Lineage: Eukaryota; Metazoa; Nematoda; Enoplea; Dorylaimida; Aporcelaimidae
Description: SSU rRNA
Rfam family: Eukaryotic small subunit ribosomal RNA
Source: RNAcentral